RNAcentral lists this ribosomal RNA (700 nucleotides) under uncultured bacterium. RNAcentral's name for it is "bacterial SSU rRNA". It matches the Rfam family "Bacterial small subunit ribosomal RNA", at positions 8 to 703 of the family's 1533-position model. The record is from RNAcentral.
AGAGUUUGAUCCUGGCUCAGAGUGAACGCUGGCGGCAGGCUAAACACAUGCAAGUCGAGCGGCAGCGCGGGGGCAACCCUGGCGGCGAGCGGCGGACGGGUGAGGAAUACAUCGGAAUCUACCCAGUCGUGGGGGAUAACGUAGGGAAACUUACGCUAAUACCGCAUACGACCUGAGGGUGAAAGCAGGGGACCGCAAGGCCUUGCGCGAUUGGAUGAGCCGAUGUCCGAUUAGCUAGUUGGUGAGGUAAAGGCUCACCAAGGCGACGAUCGGUAGCUGGUCUGAGAGGAUGAUCAGCCACACUGGAACUGAGGCACGGUCCAGACUCCUACGGGAGGCAGCAGUGGGGAAUAUUGGACAAUGGGCGCAAGCCUGAUCCAGCCAUGCCGCGUGUGUGAAGAAGGCCUUCGGGUUGUAAAGCACUUUUGUUUGGGAAGAAAUCUUCCGACCUAAUACGUCGGGAGGAUGACGGUACCGAAAGAAUAAGCACCGGCUAACUUCGUGCCAGCAGCCGCGGUAAUACGAAGGGUGCAAGCGUUACUCGGAAUUACUGGGCGUAAAGCGUGCGUAGGUGGUUCGUUAAGUCUGCCGUGAAAGCCCCGGGCUCAACCUGGGAAUGGCAUUGGAAACUGGCGGACUAGAGUGUGGCAGAGGGAGGUGGAAUUCCGCGUGUAGCAGUGGAAUGCGUAGAGAUGCGGAG